RNAcentral lists this ribosomal RNA (450 nucleotides) under uncultured bacterium. Its description in RNAcentral is "partial 16S ribosomal RNA". It matches the Rfam family "Bacterial small subunit ribosomal RNA", at positions 338 to 795 of the family's 1533-position model. The record is from RNAcentral.
CCUACGGGGGGCUGCAGUGAGGAAUAUUGGUCAAUGGACGCAAGUCUGAACCAGCCAUGCCGCGUGCAGGAUGAAGCAUCUAUGGUGUGUAAACUGCUUUUGUACGGGAAGAAACACUCCUACGUGUAGGAGCUUGACGGUACCGUAAGAAUAAGGAUCGGCUAACUCCGUGCCAGCAGCCGCGGUAAUACGGAGGAUCCAAGCGUUAUCCGGAAUCAUUGGGUUUAAGGGGUCCGUAGGCGUCUGUAUAGAAAGCCCAUCGCUUAACGAUGGAACGGCCAUUGAUACUGUAGAGCUUGAAUUACUUGGAAGUAACUAGAAUAUGUAGUGUAGCGGUGAAAUGCUUAGAUAUUACAUGGAAUACCAAUUGCGAAGGCAGGUUACUACAAGUGGAUUGACGCUGAUGGACGAAAGCGUGGGGAGCGAACAGGAUUAGAUACCCGAGUAGUC